UCCCUUCUCUUUUAGGGCCUCCACUACU
This 28-nucleotide small RNA is filed under the name Bombyx mori (domestic silkworm). RNAcentral describes it as "ovarian small RNA-27431". Lineage: Eukaryota; Metazoa; Arthropoda; Insecta; Lepidoptera; Bombycidae. The record is from RNAcentral.